Molecule: ribosomal RNA, 671 nt
Filed under: Salmonella enterica
Lineage: Bacteria; Pseudomonadati; Pseudomonadota; Gammaproteobacteria; Enterobacterales; Enterobacteriaceae
Also listed under: 4 other names
Description: partial 23S ribosomal RNA
Rfam family: Bacterial large subunit ribosomal RNA
Source: RNAcentral
GGUGGGUAGUUUGACUGGGGCGGUCUCCUCCUAAAGAGUAACGGAGGAGCACGAAGGUUGGCUAAUCCUGGUCGGACAUCAGGAGGUUAGUGCAAUGGCAUAAGCCAGCUUGACUGCGAGCGUGACGGCGCGAGCAGGUGCGAAAGCAGGUCAUAGUGAUCCGGUGGUUCUGAAUGGAAGGGCCAUCGCUCAACGGAUAAAAGGUACUCCGGGGAUAACAGGCUGAUACCGCCCAAGAGUUCAUAUCGACGGCGGUGUUUGGCACCUCGAUGUCGGCUCAUCACAUCCUGGGGCUGAAGUAGGUCCCAAGGGUAUGGCUGUUCGCCAUUUAAAGUGGUACGCGAGCUGGGUUUAGAACGUCGUGAGACAGUUCGGUCCCUAUCUGCCGUGGGCGCUGGAGAACUGAGGGGGGCUGCUCCUAGUACGAGAGGACCGGAGUGGACGCAUCACUGGUGUUCGGGUUGUCAUGCCAAUGGCACUGCCCGGUAGCUAAAUGCGGAAGAGAUAAGUGCUGAAAGCAUCUAAGCACGAAACUUGCCCCGAGAUGAGUUCUCCCUGAGACUUAGAGUCUCCUGAAGGAACGUUGAAGACGACGACGUUGAUAGGCCGGGUGUGUAAGCGCAGCGAUGCGUUGAGCUAACCGGUACUAAUGAACCGUGAGGCUUAACCUU